GAUGAACGCUGGCGGCGUGCCUAAUACAUGCAAGUCGAGCGAACAGACGAGGAGCUUGCUCCUCUGACGUUAGCGGCGGACGGGUGAGUAACACGUGGAUAACCUACCUAUAAGACUGGGAUAACUUCGGGAAACCGGAGCUAAUACCGGAUAAUAUAUUGAACCGCAUGGUUCAAUAGUGAAAGACGGUUUUGCUGUCACUUAUAGAUGGAUCCGCGCCGCAUUAGCUAGUUGGUAAGGUAACGGCUUACCAAGCCAACGAUGCGUAGCCGACCUGAGAGGGUGAUGGGCCACACUGGAACUGGAACACGGUCCAAACUCCUACGGGAGGCAGCAGAAGGGAAUCUUCCGCAAUGGGCGAAAGCCUGACGGAGCAACGCCGCGUGAGUGAUGAAGGUCUUCGGAUCGUAAAACUCUGUUAUUAGGGAAGAACAAAUGUGUAAGUAACUAUGCACGUCUUGACGGUACCUAAUCAGAAAGCCACGGCUAACUACGUG
RNAcentral lists this ribosomal RNA (497 nucleotides) under uncultured bacterium. Its description in RNAcentral is "partial 16S ribosomal RNA". It matches the Rfam family "Bacterial small subunit ribosomal RNA", at positions 28 to 507 of the family's 1533-position model. The record is from RNAcentral.